This 648-nucleotide ribosomal RNA is filed under the name Onobrychis meshhedensis. Its description in RNAcentral is "eukaryotic LSU rRNA". The stretch from base 271 to 426 matches the Rfam family "5.8S ribosomal RNA". The record is from RNAcentral. Lineage: Eukaryota; Viridiplantae; Streptophyta; Magnoliopsida; Fabales; Fabaceae.
AAGAAUGUAAACAUGUAAAANGAUAAAUCGGAUACCCAACANGAAAAUCAAAUGGUNAAUAUAACGAAUACGUAGGGAAGGCUUUGGGAGGUCAAACUCCUAGAAUUCCCAUNNACCAGAGAGGGAAACACGUUGUNAGNUCCCCUCCCNGCCCAACCCAAACCCCGGCGAUUAAUGUGCCAAGGAACUAAAAUUGGUUAAGUGCGCCCCUGCGGGCACUGGAGACGGUGACCUCGCAGGAGGUGUUUUGACGCAUGAUAUAAUAUAAACGACUAUCGGCAACGGAUAUCUAGGCUCUUGCAUCGAUGAAGAACGUAGCGAAAUGCGAUACUUGGUGUGAAUUGCAGAAUCCCGUGAACCAUCGAGUUUUUGAACGCAAGUUGCGCCCGAAGCCAUUAGGUUGAGGGCACGUCUGCCUGGGCGUCACAUAUCGUUGCCCUAUGCCCAAUGCCCAUCAUUGAUAGGCACUGUGCAGGGCGAAUGUUGGCUUCCCGUGAGCAUUGUUGUCUCACGGUUGGUUGAAAACUGAGUCCUUGGUAGGGUGUGUGCCAUGAUAGAUGGUGGUUGUGUGACCCACGAGACCGAUCAUGUGCGGCUCUACUGUCUCUGGACUCUUUGACCCACUUGCGUCCGGGGUUGCCGGGUCGA